Dermochelys coriacea (leatherback sea turtle) is the source of this 3464-nucleotide long non-coding RNA. RefSeq lists it as uncharacterized. NCBI's taxonomy places the organism in Eukaryota, Metazoa, Chordata, Testudines, Dermochelyidae. The transcript is spliced from 2 exons. The record is from RefSeq and is a predicted model, not a curated record.
AUAGAACCGAAGAAAUGUAGGACUGGACUGGACCUCAAAGAGGCUAUCCAGUUCAUUGCCCUACCCUAGGGCAGGAUUACAGUACACCUAGCCCAUCUCUGACAGGUGUUUGUCUGACUUGUUCUUAUAAACCAGGCAAUUUCUUUUUUUAAAGGCAAAUGUGUGUUUGUGUUCCAGUAGAACACAAUCCCCAGACCAGGGUCCUGUACAGAGACAGACACAAAGGAGGGAGUUCCUGAUUCAUGAUUUUCAAAACUGUCUCGUGCUGUUUGGUGGUGCCUUUUUAUUUUUUUUCCAUUUGUACACCUCUUUGGGUACCAGGUGCUUUCUGAAAAUGGGGCCCCUUUAACGUGUCAAGUGGGGAACUUAGAAAUUAAGGCACUCAAAAAUCUCAGAUCACUUGGCAUCGUAUGCCAAAUAGCCAAGUGACCUUUACUGCACCCACGUAACAUAGGAGGGAACUUCUGGCUGCUACAAUAGGGACUCUGUUCUAGUCUUGAGUCUCCUAGAGGCCUAGUGUGUAGCUGUGGGCAGGUCAUUUAUGGCCUGAUUAUUGAAGAGGGGGUAAGCAAAGGCAGCUGCCAAGGUUGUUCCAGGCGUCUUUGAAAGGCCACUCUCCCCUCUCCAUCCGUCCCCCAGCUACAAAACAUGGUGAUGGCAAUGCACGUAGUUAUCGACCAGCAGUGGCGGCAGCUGAGAGUUGGUGGAUGUGAGAGUCUCAAAGGAAAGCUGCUCCUCCCAUGCAAAGUAACAUUUCCAGUGCACACUACACACGUGUUGAGGCUCAGGUGAGAAUUUUUCCAGGCAAACAUCUUCCAUAUAACAGUUUGAUUUGAGACAAUAGUGCUCAUUUUUAAGUUCCCUUUGGUUUUCUGCCUCCCUUUCUCUUUUCCCUUGUACGCUCUUGUGUUCUGUGCUAACCUCCAAGUUCUGAUUUUCCUCCCCCGUGCACUUUUUUUGGGGGGGGGGGGUCGAAAUUCUAUUCCCUGGGUUGUUGCACUGUCCUUAAUUGAGUGACUUGCAUGUGCCUGGAGCGUUAGGGCCAAGGGAACGGAUUGAUUGAAUGCAGGAUGUCGGUUCUCCCUUUCUGCUGCUUUAACCCAUCUGUUGGAAGGAAAUGAAAUAUACACGUGCCUCUCUGCUGUGCUGUGUCAUGCUGGCUCAGCGCUUCACCCUUCCCGUGCUGCUGACGUUGUUCGCUCUCUGGUCAGAUGUCACUGCCACUUCCCAGAUGUUGUUACAUACCAGCUGGGAACAGCUGAAAUCCAUCAAGUGAGAGCCAAGUCCAGAGAGGAAGGUGGCAGCUGAUGCCAGGCACUGAGUCAGCGUUGUGUCUGCAGCUGACAUGGCAGGACCUUGGCUAGCCCGCCCGCCUCCCUGAACAGCCUUGUGGUCGGUGCCGUGGUGCUGCCCAGAGUGGCUACCUCAUCCUCUUGUCUGACAGCUUCCCUACUGAGCCUCUACUCCAGCAUCACUGGUGGCAGGCGCUAAUGUGAAUGGAAAAUCUUCACGCCAGAUGCAGAAGUUCCCAGCAGCUGUUAUGGGGAUGUAAACCCUCAGCGGUAUUUGAACACACUCUGGUUUUGCAGCAAAGCUAUCGGAGCAUCACACCAGUUACCCAAGAGGGAUUUUGGACCGGCUGUAGGGACGUAAGCCUCAUCCCAUGGAAAUCAGUAGCAAAAGUGAGAAAGAUUUCACUUGAAAUAGGUACAUAACUCGGCCUCUUUUUCUGCGAGGCUCUCAAAGUGUUGAAGCAAUAGAUUACACUCAGUCUGUUACUCUCUGUAAUGGGGUGGCUGGCCCAUAGGUCGGAGCCCGCAAGCUAAACCAGCCCUGAUGAGCCCCACCUGAGAGGAAUCAGGUGAUUCCCCAUAUAAAAGGCAGCAGGAUUCCCCAGGAAGGGGAUGGUUGAAAAAGUGUGUGAGAGGCGGGAGGAAGCUUGGUACGAAGCUGGGGCUGCUCAAGUAAAAGAAACCCAGGAAGUGUAGGUAGGUUGACGAAAGAGCUGCAGGGUGUAGGACUGGCUCCUGCAGAACGGACAGAGAGACGCUAAGCUGAGUUGGGGCCUGCGUGGGGCUGGCGUGUACCUGAGGACUGACUAAACGGGACAUCUGAGUUUUCCUUUGGACUGUGUGGGGGUUGUUUAAGGUGCCCAGGGAAGGAGAAAGCAGGGUGGGGCCCUGCAGAGGUACCCCUGGUGAUUGGGGGGCACUCAGUAAGUGGGUGCUGUUCUAGACUGGCAAAGGUCAGAUUGGAAAGUGGCUGCUGAGCUCUUUUGAAAAACCAGCCCUAAAACAUGUGGCUGGAUGGGCUGAGGCUCCGGGGGCUGUGGGUUCUGGCAGAUGGCAGGGGGUCUUGGUUGUCCUAUAGAUCUGUAAUUUGUGUCCUAAAUACUAUAGUUUAGCUUGUGUGAAACCUCCAUAGAAUUGAAAGAGAAAUAAUAUUGUGACUCUCCUGGAGCACUUUGGGUGCCCUAGAAAUAUAAAUGAUUCUCUAGCAGGGCUUUAUUUUCACAAUCCUAGUACAAUCUACACCAUCUUUCCGGCAUCUAGCUUAGAUUAGCCCCUGCAAUAGAGUUCUGCUUUCGUUCCUGUCGACUGCAGUGAGCCAAAUUCAGCUAUAUUUGCCACUGAGAAGCUUAGCGCUGUACUGCUAUUUUUAUAGCCAUAGUUUAGCUUAGCAUAAAUAAGGACAGAAAAACCUGCAGGAUACACAAGGAUGAGUUGGCACAACAAUCCUGUCCUUUCUAAUUAGAUUUCAAUUUAUGCUUCGCAGCACCAGCACUGCUGUUGUCUUCCUAAAUGGUCACUCGGAGGGCAGCAAACUAAUAACAUCUACUGAGCUUUUUUUAAAAAAAGAACGAGACAGAAUAAUACAAAGGAGGGCAAGAUAUUGCUUUUUUUUUUUUAAUGUUCCUGUAUUGUACUUAUUGUAUUUGCUAGUUUCAAUUGACGCCAGCCCCAUCAGUCACCAGGGAAAGAUGUGAAGAUGCCUGUGUGCAAAUAUGAGUGGCAUUCAGACUCAUUCAAACCUUAGCCAUUCUCCUAAAUGGAAAUCUUGCUCUUUGGUGAUAAUAUCACCGGCUGGAGAGAACCAGUUCAGGGAACCUGAAUUAUUGAGCUGAAUGUAGGAGUCACUGGGUGAAAUUGUAGGUGCAAGGUCAGGCUCGAUCAUCAUAAUGGGCCUUUCUGGGUGUAGGCCCUGAUUCUGCCAAGCUUUUAGCCACAUGCUUAACCUCUGUCCCUGUUCUGCAAAGCACUUAACUUUAGGCACGUGUUUAACUUCUAAAGAAAGUCACGGGCAUGUUUAAAUGCUUUGCUGAACCAGGCCCCUGAAAAUCUGUUCUGUGAUAGCUGUGUGAAAGCUGUGUGAAAUGUAUCUUCCCAAGCAGCUUGUGCGUGGUUUUCUUUUUUUUUUUUAAGUAAUAUUGAAUUAUUUUAAAGUCAAUAAAAAUAGCCCCGUCA